AUACCUUUCUCGGCCUUUUGGCUAAGAUCAAGUGUAGUAUCUGUUCUUAUCAGUUUAAUAUCUGAUAUGUGGACCAUGUGUCCACUUUGAUAUUAAAUUUAUUUUUUGUGGGGGGAGGGCUCGUAAUAGUGGCUUGCCACUAGAACCCUUGAGCGUCGCUUAGGUGUUGCACUAUUUUCUAAGCUUGGCGCGCCCCAA
Molecule: small nuclear RNA, 198 nt
Filed under: Oryza longistaminata (longstamen rice)
Lineage: Eukaryota; Viridiplantae; Streptophyta; Magnoliopsida; Poales; Poaceae
Description: snRNA U2
Rfam family: U2 spliceosomal RNA
About the family: U2 is a small nuclear RNA (snRNA) component of the spliceosome (involved in pre-mRNA splicing). Complementary binding between U2 snRNA (in an area lying towards the 5' end but 3' to hairpin I) and the branchpoint sequence (BPS) of the intron results the bulging out of an unpaired adenosine, on the BPS, which initiates a nucleophilic attack at the intronic 5' splice site, thus starting the first of two transesterification reactions that mediate splicing.
Source: RNAcentral